GAUGAAGAACGCAGCGAAACGCGAUAGUUAAUGUGAAUUGCAGAAUUCAGUGAAUCAUCGAGUCUUUGAACGCACAUUGCGCCCAUUGGUAUUCCGUUGGGCAUGUCUGUUUGAGCGUCAUUACAACAGUUCAGCGUAAGCUGGUUAUGAGUUCUGUUUUUUUAAACAAAAAACAGGCUUUAAAAUGUAUGUUCUGCAGGUCGCUUUGCUAAACCCUAAACAUUAAAUACUGUUCUAGUGAAGCAUUUGCGACUCUGCCUGAAAAAAAACUUUUGUUAAAGUUUGACCUCAGAUCAGACAAGGAUACCCGCUGAACUUAAGCAUAUCAAUAAGCGAGGA
This 339-nucleotide unclassified non-coding RNA is filed under the name soil metagenome. RNAcentral describes it as "partial contains 5.8S ribosomal RNA, internal transcribed spacer 2, and large subunit ribosomal RNA". The stretch from base 1 to 120 matches the Rfam family "5.8S ribosomal RNA", at positions 35 to 154 of the family's 154-position model. The record is from RNAcentral.